This is a non-coding RNA of Suricata suricatta (meerkat), 1229 nucleotides long. NCBI's taxonomy places the organism in Eukaryota, Metazoa, Chordata, Mammalia, Carnivora, Herpestidae. The record is from the annotation of a RefSeq genome assembly.
AUGGAAGCCAGGCCCCCACCAGUGCAGCAGGCCCUCCAGGGGCCAGGUGGGUGGCCCCAGACAACCAAGGAGGGCCCCACGGUCUCCCACACCUUCCACCAGGCCCUGACCCCAGGGGUCGACACAGGCACCCAGGCCCUGGCACGGUCCCCAACUGACCCUCUCAUCACCCCAGCCCAACCUGUCCCACGGACCCGGUCCCCAGAGUGCAGCAGAAAGGCCGAGGCUGAGCCCGAGGCUCCCAUGGCCCAGCCCCCAUCUCUGCACCACACAGCCACCCGUCCCUCCCUCCCGCCACUUCCAGCCUCUGGGGAGACUGAGGCUCCCCUGCCGACUCUUGGGCCAUCCCUAUCAGAGGACACCACCCCUGUGCCCGGCACUGCCACAGUCUCAGUGCCUUCCACCAGCAGCACCCAGAUGCGAGCCAGAGAGCCAGAAAGGACGGUGGAUGCCAGUUGCAGAGAGCGUGGCAACCACACCAGCCCUCCCGGCCUCUACCUCCCUCGGCCUCCCCUGCAGGGCGUAUGGCUCCAGGGACAGGCCACCUUCACUUGCCUAGAGGUGAGGACUGACCUGCAGGAGGCCCGUUUGUCCUGGGAGCUGGCCGGGACACCCCUUCACGAAGGUGUGGACAACGGGCUGCUGACAGAACAUGCCAAUGGUUCCCAGAGCUGGACUAGCCACCUGGACCUGCCUGUGUCAUCCUGGGCCUUGGGGGCCAACGUCACCUGUACCCUGAGCUCCCCAGGUGUACCCUCCCAUGUGGUGUCUGCAGCUCCCAGGGAACACGCUGCCUCUGUGCCCAGCAGCCUCACAGUCUGCAUCCUGUGUCCAGAGCGGCCUCCUGGAUCCUGUGCAAGGCGUCUGGCGUCUCGCCCCCGGACAUCCUCCUCACCUGGCUGAAGAACCAGGACCAGGUGGACCCUGGUUUGUUUUCCACCGUGUCCCCCGUGGCUGAGCCUGGGAACAGCACCUUCGAGACUUGGAGUGUCCUGUGUGUCCGCAUGGCCCAGGCCCCUCACCUGGACACCUACACAUGUGCCUCCCGGAGUUUGCUCAGUGCCAGCUGGAGCCCAGACACAGCCAGUGAGUCACACAUGGGCAUGGGUCAGGGCUGGGGGCCAGCCCCCGAGGAGCUGAAGGGCUGGGUCCUGGGGCUGCAGCCACGGGUCUGUGCCACCCAGCCAGGAUGGCCUUACCCCAACCUGCUCGACCUCGUGCUGGACUAG